RNAcentral lists this long non-coding RNA (457 nucleotides) under Dermacentor andersoni. Its description in RNAcentral is "uncharacterized LOC126544402". Lineage: Eukaryota; Metazoa; Arthropoda; Arachnida; Ixodida; Ixodidae. The record is from RNAcentral.
UAUUUGUUAUCAAUGUUCAAUGUACUAAGUGUCUUAAUGCGCUUGAAACCACAACGUACAGGAAAUUUGUCUUCUUAUUGAUCAGAUCAUCAUGGCGUGCAGGCUGACUUCUUUGUUUCUUACGAUCUUAUCUGCUCGACUGAUGAUUGCCCUAAAAGAUAAAGAACAUCUCAACUACUGUCAAGGCAUAUCUGAGGACAAAGACACCUGCGUUUAUCCCAAGAUGUGCAAGUGCCCCUUGAUGAAUACCGGAGGAUACAUGAGGUUGACUCUGUGGCACUACGAUAACCGCACCGGCCGGUGCAGGAAAAUCGUGGGAAGCAACGCAAAUGGGUAUUGCAACAUGUUUGAAAAGAAUGAGGAUUGCCGAAGAUUGUGCAAAAAGCCCUUGAAACGACGGCGUCCCAAACCAAAAACGUAAAACAGUAACGCUGGCAGGUAACUGGUGGUUAAACUU